Molecule: ribosomal RNA, 871 nt
Filed under: Trametes cingulata
Lineage: Eukaryota; Fungi; Basidiomycota; Agaricomycetes; Polyporales; Polyporaceae
Description: partial large subunit ribosomal RNA
Rfam family: Eukaryotic large subunit ribosomal RNA
Source: RNAcentral
CCCCUAGUAANCUGCGAGUGAAGCGGGNAAAAGCNUCNAAAUUUAAAANUCUGGCGGUCUUUGGCCGUCCGAGUUGUAGUCUGGAGNAAGUGCUUUCCGCGCUGGACCGUGUACAAGUCUCUUGGAACAGAGCGUCAUAGANGGGUGAGAAUCCCGUCUUUGACACGGACUACCAGUGCUUUGUGAUGCGCUCUCAAAGAGUCGAGUUGUUUGGGAAUGCAGCUCAAAAUGGGUGGUGAAUUCCAUCUAAAGCUAAAUAUUGGCGAGAGACCGAUAGCGAACAAGUACCGUGAGGGAAAGAUGAAAAGCACUUUGGAAAGAGAGUUAAACAGUACGUGAAAUUGCUGAAAGGGAAACGCUUGAAGUCAGUCGCGUCGUCCGGGACUCAGCCUUGCUUCGGCUUGGUGCACUUCCCGGGUGACGGGCCAGCAUCGAUUUUGACCGCUGGAAAAGGGCUGGAGGAAUGUGGCACCUUCGGGUGUGUUAUAGCCUCCAGUCGCAUACGGCGGUUGGGAUCGAGGAACGCAGCACGCCUUACGGCGGGGGUUCGCCCACCUUCGUGCUUAGGAUGCUGGCAUAAUGGCUUUAAACGACCCGUCUUGAAACACGGACCAAGGAGUCUAACAUACCUGCGAGUGUUUGGGUGGAAAACCCGAGCGCGUAAUGAAAGUGAAAGUUGAGACCUCUGUCGUGGAGGGCAUCGACGCCCGGACCUGACGUUCUCUGACGGAUCCGCGGUAGAGCAUGUAUGUUGGGACCCGAAAGAUGGUGAACUAUGCCUGAAUAGGGUGAAGCCAGAGGAAACUCUGGUGGAGGCUCGUAGCGAUUCUGACGUGCAAAUCGAUCGUCAAAUUUGGGUAUAGGGGCGAAA